UGGCCCUGAGCUUGGGAGAGGAUCCAGGUGGGCCUGAUGUAAUCAAAGGGCCCCUAGAAGGGAGGGAGAGAUGCAGGAGAGACUGUCCGAGUGGGAAGAAGGGUGCCAGGAGCCAGGAAAUUCAGGACAAAAAAGAAACUUUUCUUAGUUUCAAGUGAUAAAGUUUUUUGUGGUUGGAUCCAUAUGGAAUAACAUGGUAACAUAUCAGAGGAACUCCAAACACAGUGCAAAGGGCCAUCGCUAGAAAACAGGACGUCAUUGCAGAGGAUCAUCCAUGGAAAGCAGUGGGAGAUUACACUGGAUACGCACCAAUCUUAAGAAAUACACUGACAUUAUACUCUCACGUUUUUAUGUUUUUCCCUCAAAAGCAAAGUGCACAAAAAAAUCUAUUUUCACAGGCAAUGUUGAAUAAUUUAUCAUGGCAUCAUACUCUGAGGGAUGCCUCCCAGGUCCUUGAGAAGGAAGUUCCUAGGUUGUAAAACUGCCAAGAGGCUGGAAGAAGAUUUACAUCUCAAAGGGACAGAGAAAAAAACGUACAAUGGUAUCUAAAUUGAAAAAGAAGUAAAACUGUCAUAAGAUAACAUGAUCAUCUAUGUUGAAAAUUCAAUGGAAUCUACAAAAAAUACUGUAAGAACUAACAAGUGUGUUUAGUGAGGCUGCAGGAUAUAAAAUCAACAUACAAAAAUAAAUCAUAUUAAAAUGCAACAGCAACAGACAAUUGGAAAUCAAAAUUAAACAAUCAGCACCGUUUAUGAUAGCCUUAAAGAAUCUCAAAUACUUAGGACUAAAUCUGAUGAAGUAUGUAUAUGACCCGAACACUGAAAACCACAAAACAUUGUUGAAGAAGACCUAAAUAAAGAGAAAGUUAUACUGUCUGCAUUGAUUAGAAACCUGAAUAGGGCAAGCCCCGGUGGCCUAGUGGUUAAGUUCGGCACGCUCCGCUUCUGCAGCCCAGGUCCAGUUCCUGGGUGUGGACCUACACCGCUCAUCUCUUAGUGGUCACGCUGUGGUGGCAGCUCACCUACAAAAAGAGGAAGCCUGGCAGUAGAUGUUAGCUCACUGUGAAUCUUCCUCAACAAAAGAAAAGAAAAAGAAAAAGAAAACCAAAUAGAAGAAAGGUGUUAAUUCUCUCCAGAUUUGGUAUAUAGAUUCAGUGUAAUUCCAACCAAAAUCCCAGGAGGAUUUCUUGUAGAACUUGAAAAGCUAAUUUUAAAAUUCAUAACAAAAUUCAAAGGACCUAGAAUAGCUAAUACAAUUUUUGAAUGUAAGAAUGAUACAAUACUAACGUUAUCAGAUUUCAAUCAGUAUUUCUUUUUUCUAUUCUCCUUUUCUCUCUUCUGUUUUUGUAUAUAUUUUAUACAUCUUGAAGUUGUCCAUCAGCUCAAUAAUCCCCUGAUCAAUUUUUUUUCUUUUUUAUGUAUACGUUUCAUUUUAGAUUAAGUCUACUGUUAUGUCUUCAGCUUUAUUACAUUUUCUUCUGUGAUGUCUAAUCUGCAGAUAAUUCCAUCUGGUGUAUUUUUCAUCUCAGGCAUUGUAGUUUUCAUCUCUAGAAGUUCUAUUUGAGUCUAUUUUCUAACUUCCAUGUCUAUACUUGUUCAAUAUUUCCACUGGUUUUUGAACAUAGGGAAUAUAAUUUAAUAACUGUUUUAAUGUCCUUAAUUGCCAAUUCUAACAGCUGUGUCAGUCCCAGGUUGUUUUGGUUAAUUGACUCUUUCUCCCCAUUGUGAUUCAUAUUUUCCUUCUUCUUUGAUGUCUGGUAAUUUGGCUUCAAUGCCAUAUACUUUGAAUUUUAUCUUUGGGUGGUUGGGUAUUUUUGUAUUACUGUAAAUAUUUUUGAGCUUUGUUCUGAUAUGUAGCUAAGUUACUUGGAAACAGUUUGAUCCUUUCAGUUCUUGAUUUUAAAAUGUCUUAGGACUAGAGCAGCAUUUAGACUACAGCUGAUUUUAUUCCAAAAAUGAGUUGAAACACUUUUCCAGUGCCCUGUGAGUUUUGAUGUUUUUCACUUUGGCUGGCCA
Equus caballus (horse) is the source of this 2015-nucleotide long non-coding RNA. NCBI's taxonomy places the organism in Eukaryota, Metazoa, Chordata, Mammalia, Perissodactyla, Equidae. The record is from Ensembl.